AUUGAACGCUGGCGGCAGGCUUAAUACAUGCAAGUCGAGCGCGUGAAGCUUUCUGAAGCCUUCGGGCGGACGAAAGCGGAUCGAGCGGCGGACGGGUGAGUAACACGUAGGCAACCUGCCUGUAAGACCGGGAUAACUCCGGGAAACCGGGGCUAAUACCGGAUAAGAUCUUUCUCCGCAUGGAGGGAGAUUGAAAGGAUGGCCGCAAGGCGAUCGCUUACAGAUGGGCCUGCGGCGCAUUAGCUGGUUGGUGAGGUAACGGCCCACCAAGGCGACGAUGCGUAGCCGGCCUGAGAGGGUGACCGGCCACACUGGGACUGAGACACGGCCCAG
Molecule: ribosomal RNA, 333 nt
Filed under: uncultured bacterium
Lineage: Bacteria
Description: bacterial SSU rRNA
Rfam family: Bacterial small subunit ribosomal RNA
Source: RNAcentral